RNAcentral lists this ribosomal RNA (252 nucleotides) under uncultured bacterium. Its description in RNAcentral is "partial 16S ribosomal RNA". It matches the Rfam family "Bacterial small subunit ribosomal RNA", at positions 524 to 776 of the family's 1533-position model. The record is from RNAcentral.
UACGAAGGGGCUAGCGUUGUUCGGAUUUACUGGGCGUAAAGCGCACGUAGGCGGAUUGUUAAGUCAGGGGUGAAAUCCUGGAGCUCAACUCCAGAACUGCCUUUGAUACUGGCAAUCUUGAGUCCGGAAGAGGUGAGUGGAAUUCCUAGUGUAGAGGUGAAAUUCGUAGAUAUUGGGAAGAACACCGGUGGCGAAGGCGGCAACCUGGUCCUUGACUGACGCUGAGGCGCGAAAGCGUGGGGAGCAAACAGG